Long non-coding RNA from Cavia porcellus (domestic guinea pig), 1815 nucleotides. RefSeq lists it as uncharacterized. The record is from RefSeq and is a predicted model, not a curated record. NCBI's taxonomy places the organism in Eukaryota, Metazoa, Chordata, Mammalia, Rodentia, Caviidae. The transcript is spliced from 3 exons.
UCCUGAGGCCCACUGCCUACCUGCCCAUUUGUAGGGAUUCCAGGCACAGUCUUAAUAACACAGGGGCUCCAAAGAGCCAGGUGCCUGGGUGGCAGGGUGAGGUGGGAGGGACGCAUAGGCCUUAUGGGCAGACUCCUGCAGUACCUGUCCAGGGCCGUGAUGGAGUGUGAUGGUAUCUGACCAGGGCAGCUUUAUCUGGUGAGACACUUGCCCUGAAACGGCAGGUGGUGGAUGGCAGACGGCCCAGGAGACCCAAAGCAACUGAACCCGACCCGGACUCCCUGCUGCUAGGCCAAGGCUGGUCCAGAUCCCCGAGGAGCAGCCAUCUGGCUUCACAGCUCUGAGCAGAACCAAAGCAGUCUACUGUGAGGGCACAGCUGCCAAGGAAAUGCCAUCCGCAGCCCGCACCGCCCACACAGAGCCAUCUCCAGGUGACCAGCACCUGCCCUGGCCAGCAAGUCCGAGGCCACACAUCCCUAAGCAGAUACGCUCGUGCCUGAGCCCCCAGGUCACUGGACACAGGACCCUGUGAUGACCUGCAAGCUACAGAGGAUCCUGUCACUCUCAUCACAAGCAGACCGACCCCGAGGACUUUCAUCAGUGCGCUGCCAGCUCCAGCCUGUUCCUCUUUUACUCUGUGAAAGUGGUCACCAAAAGCAUCCCCAUGCUGGAGCCCAAGGCCACCCAUUACCUCGGGUUCUGGCUGGUGAGAGUCCUGGUAACUUCAGCACUCUCCUGUUUCAACUUCUCCCUUCAAGUCUCUCUGCUCAUUGUGUCCUGUGUUUAUUUAUCAAAUGUACACAUUGUGCUCAUAGGCACUGGUGCCCAGGCCUGGUAUGAAAUAUUAAGUCACAAUCUUUUGAUUACUCCUGGAGAUCUUCACUAUCUUAGGCCCUGGUACAGAGAAGGAAACUGAGGCUUGGAGGAAUCACGAAAUCCUUGCCGUAUAGCAGGGUGAAGCUCAGUGGUGAGCAUUGGCCUACCAGGCUCUGAGCCCAGGAGAAAAGAAUCUCCUGCAGAGGGGCAGAGCCAGGUCCUCCACUCCAGGGCAGUCCGGACCGGGGCCAGGGACAGAGUUUCCCAUUCUGCUUCUGGUCCCAGGCUCUUGGAUACUCUCUCCUUAACUCACAUCACCCAGCAACUCUCUGUUGAAUGCUUACAGUAGUCUCACUUUAGUGUUCCAUUUAGGAGGGUGACAAAGAAUUGAAAGAAGUUUUUAGAGUUUUAAUUAUGCAAGUAGUGACAUCUUCCCUGAAAAAAAGAAUGUGGGAGCUGGAAACGAUGUGCAUGAUCUCUGUCUCCCCCGGUGUCCCGAUGCCACAGCAGAGCGUGUUGAUGAAUUUCCUGCCACCAUCUCACUGGACUGUGCAUUGUCUUUUACUGUAUUAUUUCUAUGAAAUAAUUCAAAGUAAAAGAAAAUUACAGAGAAUUUCUGUAUGAUGCCUCUGUGUCCACUUUUCAUCCUCAUUAAGCUUUGCAGCUCAUGUCAGAUUUUAAGUGAAAUAAAACAUUUAGAGACUAUAAUACAAUAUGUUCAAUUCCAAUACCCUUUCUGUCUUAGCAGUAACCUAAAUUUGGUGUUUACUAAUCCCGUGAAUUUUUAAUACAAAAAAAUCCCUACCUUAUCUGUGUAAGGUAUAAAGAAAGAUUUAGAAAAUCACUAUGUCAUAUAUCCAUAACCCAACUGACAAAGAGGAUGGAGGAUCCCCUGCCCUGGUCUCUUAUCUGAUUCCUUGUGUCACUUCCCUCUCAUUACCCAGACGAAACACUACCCACAAACCUGCACUUAUCAUUCCCAGGCCUCUCUAUAUGCUU